Acanthosepion pharaonis is the source of this 111-nucleotide non-coding RNA. The record is from the annotation of a GenBank genome assembly. NCBI's taxonomy places the organism in Eukaryota, Metazoa, Mollusca, Cephalopoda, Sepiida, Sepiidae.
ACAGCCACAUCAGGUUAAAACCCCAGUUCCUGUACGAUAGCCGAAGUUAAGCAACGUCGAGCCUGGUCAGUACCUAGAUGGAUGACUACUUGGGAAUACCAGGUGUUAUAA